Long non-coding RNA from Mustela lutreola (European mink), 1041 nucleotides. RefSeq lists it as uncharacterized. The transcript has 3 exons. NCBI's taxonomy places the organism in Eukaryota, Metazoa, Chordata, Mammalia, Carnivora, Mustelidae. The record is from RefSeq and is a predicted model, not a curated record.
UCCAGACGCACCAGCCUCCUUUAGGAUUCUUCCUCCAGCUUCCAUCAUGGUCAGCGUAAACCCCACUUACCUGAUGACCACUCCCCUGGGCCCGUGUUUACAUUGUGCUUGCCUUUACCCACCGGAACCGGAAGCUACCCUGCUGGACCUCCUACCGACCUGCCUUUGGCGCUAGGUCUCCCAAGAAACUGACCUGGCCGACCCGGGGCGUCGGAACCACGCCGAGAGACUGGCAGGGAAGAGGCGACUCUCAGAGUCCUUGUGGUUGCCAAUCCCUUUCUCGGGACCACAAAUCCCAGAGGUCACUGCGGCCGUUCCCACCCCACCACCCUCUGGGAUUUGUAGUUUGAGCCACCCGCGCCCCGAGCGCCCUCUAGUAGCAGCCGGGAGCGUCUGGCGCACAGGCGACCGCAGUGCGCGGGAGCGCGGGAAACUAGGGCUGUGCGCGUUGAGGGGAGCGCAGAGAGAGGCAACCCCAGCCAGACUGCGUGCCCGUUCAGUAAGCCGAUGGAACAGUCGAGGCUGAGGGUCCCAUUACGAUAGGACCCUCCCUUAAAGGACUUUACAGCCUAAGAGACCGGCCAGACACAAAGGACAGAAGCAAAAAUCCACGGCAAAGGAGUCCAGGGGAGCAGGUCGGGGAGAGAGGCCCCUGGUUCAAACGUAGGCUUCACGUUGGAAAAAACAGGGAGGCUCUCCUGUGCGGGGUAGGAUGUUCAGCGGCAUCCCUGGAAUCUACCCACUCGAUUCCAUACACUCCCACCACCUCUACCACCUCUUGUGACGACCAGAAUUGUCUCCAGUCACUGCCAGAGGUCCCUGGAAGGAAAAGCGUUCCCCCACCCCUGCCCCGUUGAGAACCGCUGUUGUGGAACAGUGAUGCUCCGAGGUCAUGAUGUCAGAGUCCUGGGAUCGAGCCCCACAUCCGGCUCUGCUCAGCGGGGAGCCUGCUUCCCCCACCCGCUGCCUGCUGCUCUGCCUACUUGUGAUCUCUCUCUCUCUCUCUCUCUGUGUCAAAUAAAUAAAAUCUUUUAAAAUAUA